Molecule: ribosomal RNA, 573 nt
Filed under: uncultured bacterium
Lineage: Bacteria
Description: partial 16S ribosomal RNA
Rfam family: Bacterial small subunit ribosomal RNA
Source: RNAcentral
UGGGGAAUUUUGGACAAUGGGCGAAAGCCUGAUCCAGCAAUGCCGCGUGUGUGAAGAAGGCCUUCGGGUUGUAAAGCACUUUUGUCCGGAAAGAAAUCCUUGGCUCUAAUACAGUCGGGGGAUGACGGUACCGGAAGAAUAAGCACCGGCUAACUACGUGCCAGCAGCCGCGGUAAUACGUAGGGUGCAAGCGUUAAUCGGAAUUACUGGGCGUAAAGCGUGCGCAGGCGGUUUGCUAAGACCGAUGUGAAAUCCCCGGGCUCAACCUGGGAACUGCAUUGGUGACUGGCAGGCUAGAGUAUGGCAGAGGGGGGUAGAAUUCCACGUGUAGCAGUGAAAUGCGUAGAGAUGUGGAGGAAUACCGAUGGCGAAGGCAGCCCCCUGGGCCAAUACUGACGCUCAUGCACGAAAGCGUGGGGAGCAAAACAGGAUUAGAUACCCUGGUAGUCCACGCCCUAAACGAUGUCAACUAGUUGUUGGGGAUUCAUUUCCUUAGUAACGUAGCUAACGCGUGAAGUUGACCGCCUGGGGAGUACGGUCGCAAGAUUAAAACUCAAAGGAAUUGACGGGGUC